UACGUAGGGUGCAAGCGUUAAUCGGAAUUACUGGGCGUAAAGCGUGCGCAGGCGGUUUGCUAAGAGAGAUGUGAAAUCCCCGGGCUUAACCUGGGAACUGCGUUUCUAACUGGCAGGCUUGAGUGUGGCAGAGGGGGGUGGAAUUCCACGUGUAGCAGUGAAAUGCGUAGAGAUGUGGAGGAACACCGAUGGCGAAGGCAGCCCCCUGGGCUAACACUGACGCUCAAGCACGAAAGCGUGGGGAGCAAACAGG
Molecule: ribosomal RNA, 253 nt
Filed under: uncultured bacterium
Lineage: Bacteria
Description: partial 16S ribosomal RNA
Rfam family: Bacterial small subunit ribosomal RNA
Source: RNAcentral